UCAUGAUCAACAGCUCCUAAAUCGCGAUGCGUCAACAACUUCGAAUCCGAUGAACCCAACCCAUCUAGCUCCACAUUUACCCGCUACCAACCCAUUCGUGGUCUUCCUCACUCCGUCACACUCGAGUCCAUAUGAGAAAGACCUAGAAGCUUCUAGAAAAGUGAUGCAUCAGCCCCUUCUAAUGUUCGAAUCGUAGAUCUUUCGGGUUGAUUGGUACGAUUUCGUACGUAGUUGGGGGAUUUUCAUUGACUAUUGAAUACCAUUUAUUUUUUCGAAAUGGUAUUGGUCCACGUAUUUCAAUUUCUUUGAAAAUUGGCAAUUGAUACCAAUUAUUAGUUGGAAAUUACAUCUUUAGUUGGAAUUUCAAAUUACCUCCACAGAAAAUCCUGAAAUUACCCUCGAUUGGUCUCUGUAGAGAGCUCACUGAUGAGCUGGGAAGGGGUUGGAAUUUUUGGUAGUCUAAAAAGGUUGAAAAAAAUUUAGGGUUUUCGUUUUCAGCUUGAGAGUCUCUUUUAGGGUUGGAGUCCUGGGAGUCAGAAAUUGGGUUUUCGACUUUUGGGGUUCAAAAAUCAGAGUUUGAAGAUCCUGGGGGUCAGGAUUCUUUUUUAUGUUCUCUUCUUUGAGGGUUCAAAUUUUUGUCCAGCAAAUUCUAGGGCCUUUAUUCAGGGAAGACAGAAGCCGUGAGAAACGAAGUUUUUCGAAAGUCGGGUUAGGAACUCUAAAAUCAAAAAGUUAUUUCGCAUAAUUUUCUCGUCACUUCUUUCUGGAAGCUAGUCACUCAAUUGGGAGUACCCGAGUUGACAACAUCAAGUUCCCAGCAAUGAUUACUAUGCUGAUAGCUCGUUUGUUCCAUUUUGCUACCCCGAAGGAGGUAAACAUACUCUUACCCCUUUUAACUUAUCGAUUUCUUCUUUAUCCCUCUUUCUUUAUGGUAAUAUUUGUUUGUUUGUUGAUGAAUAAGGCUGGGUUGUUCGCUGUAAAAAGCCUUAAAGGCCGUAGGUUUUGUGAAAGCAAUGUUGUCUGUAUUGUCUGGUUAUGAUGGUUUUGCCUUAGUUUCUAUUGCUUAUUUUGACAUUGUUGAUUAGUUUUGUCCUGUUUCUUAUUAAGUAUAGUGACCGUUGUGUGGGUCGAUGGUUUAUCAUCUAGAGUUGCUCCUUUGAUGGUCGUUCUAUUAUUUAUCUAAGUGUCAUUGGGUUUCAUUCGUUGUUAUUGUAGUCUAAAGUAUUUAAUGAAAAAUCCAAAGAUCUCUCGACGGUCGUGUCGUUUGAUCGAAAGAGAGGAUUAGAAUGAUUUGAUGACUCAUUCGUUGUGACUGUUUGACAUAGUUUUGGACUGUGUAUUUUCCUACUCAGCUGGUAACAUUGCUAGCAGAGCUGCCUCUCAAGUCUCUUUGGCUUCUCACGUGCCAAAGGGAUAAUGAGUAAGAGCCAAGAUGGGCUAUAAAUGCCUGUGAUUCCUCGAUGAUCAUAUCGGCUACCAAAAGCUUAUCCUUUUGGGUUUGUCGAAAAAAGAGUGAGGAUGAGGAUAGUAGACUUUGCUACGUUUCCAUUUGGUUUAAUGGGUUAUGUCUUUUGCCUCGUCUUAAAACUCGAAUUUUAGACUCCCAUCCUUCCUUGGGUUUCAUCCUCAGUGGGGAGACACAUUAGAAGGAUAAACAUGGUAAUAUUUUGGGGUACUAGAUAUUCGAAUGUGUCCUGUUCAGGGCAGUAGCCUAAUUUUGUUGUUAUCAUACUGCAUAUAAUUUAUGUUCAGGCUAAGGAUUCCCAAGGAUCUUUCUUUGUCAACAAUAAUCAAGAAGGUAGGGAUGAAUUUGCAUUUAUGUUACAUUCAAUAUAGGAUUAGGGAUGGGACAACACAUCAUAACUGUUUGUCUUCAUCCUGAAAUACCUGCUGCCAGGACCUAAUGCGGCAGGUAACUUAAGCACUCUUCCAGAUUCAAAUAUUUUUUUUGUGGCCAGGUGUAAUUAAGCUGUUGUCAUUGUCGAGGUUAUUAUUUUAAGUGAUAGAAAAAGCUAAAAAUUGGAAGAAAAUUGGUUUUCUUCGAAAGGGUAAGAAGUCAGCUACGGCUGCGAAUCAUGAGACAAACAUUAGGGAUCUCGUUCUCCAGGCUACUGUUGUGUGCUUUAUGCUUCGACUUCCUGAUGUUUACCUCCUUGAUAGAAUUUAAUAGCAUGUAAAUGUCUUCAAAACCUCGUCCAUCUGCUGACUAUUAUGUUUAGCUCGACAGAAUUUUGAAAUCAGUUUUCCUUUAGUGGUGUUGUUGGAGUGACCGAACAUGAAUCAUAGGUUAUUCUGAUCAUGAACAUCUCUCAAACAAACUUACAGUAUGUUAUGCAUUAUCUACGUUGUCCCUCAUCAUACGCUCUUGGGUACCAAGCAUGUCGUUUAUGCCAGAAUGUAAAUAAAAGUUUGCAUCAAGACAUCAUUUACUUAGCAUGCUAUUUGACUAUAUGAACACACCCUCAUUCUUUCUAAUUAGUCUUUCCUACAUUUUUGCUUUCUCAUGUGAUCGAGUAUAAGUGGUCGCUCUAUGCUUUAUUUCUUCAAAUGCUCCUACGCUACAUACCUUAUUUAUUUCCUUGAUUGGAUUUUUGUGUUUACAUUUUUCAAUUCCCUUUCUUUUUUUAGUUGAUCAUGUCUUUACAUUCUUUAUCUCUCCUGUUUUGCAUGAAUCCACAGUGGAGUUCAAGUAGACUAUCUCCGGUGCAUUCCUCAUCGGGCCAAUGAGGCCUAUCUUAUUGAGUCCAGUCCAAUGACCUAAAAGUGACCCUGCGGUGAUGAAUACGAGGAGUUAGAAAAAGAAAGGCGAGUUAAAGACCCACAUUUAAAGUGGCUUGAGUAACUCUAAUCUUGAUGAUUUCUACCAUGAAAAUGGCCUUGGUAAAGGCAUGCACAUAAGGUGUUUGUGAAAAUGUCUAAGUAAAUUGUCUAGUCUUAUGUUGGUGAUGUUUUGAACAAGGAAAAUGACCCAAUAAGUAUGAAUUAUUAUUAUAUGAUAUUGUAAAAGUAUUACUAGCCAUGUAUUAUAAAAUUGAUGAUCGUGUUAGUUGAUGGUUAAUGAGGGGUUAAAGUUUCUAUUCAUGAAUAUGAACUUGAAUUGUGUGUUGAACUAAAGUGUGGUAAGAAUGUGGUCUAAGAUUACUAAUGAUAUGUGAACAGUUUGUGAAGGUCUUGAUGACCUUAAAUAGGAUUGUAUAAUAAAUUAAGUCAUUGGUCUAUUGAAAUAGUUGAGCAAUGAAGGCUCCCAUGAGAACCAUAUGGUCAUGUAUAGUAUUGAAUUGUCUAAAUGGGUUAAAGUCCUUAAGUGUGAAUUGAAUAGCUGAUGAUUUAUGGACAAAGGGUUGGAGUCCUAAUGUCGACUAGUGAUAGUCGUAAUGGCUCGAGGUUAAAGUCUCUUUCCUAAUGAAAGGGCUUGAGUUAAAGUCCCAUGCCUAAUGAAAUCGCUUAUGGUUAAAGUCCCUUGUACAAUAAGAUCUCUUGAGGUUGAAGUGCCUCGCCAAAUGAAAUGGCUUGGGUUAGAGUCCCCUAUCUAAUAAGGUAUGAGGUUAGAGUCCCUUGCCAAAUGUACAGGAAUGUGGUUAGGGUCCCUUGCCUAAAUGAAUGUGUGUGUGUGGUAAGAGUCCCUUGCCUAAAUGAAUAUGCAUGUGUGGUUAGAGUCCCUUGCUUAAAUGGAUAUGUGUGUGGUUAGAAUCCCUUGCUUAAUGAGUGUAUAGAUGGUUAAAGUCCUUAAUUUAAGUAAUAUAUAAAUGUGGUUGAAGUAUUAUACUUAAUAAGAAUUGUUUGAAUCUAAGUGUGGAAGGUCAGAGUCCUUCACUUUAUGUCUCAUGAUUGAGUGCUUUGAGAAUAUUGUUAAGGAUUGUUUACUUGUUUGGCAUGUGAUAUACCUACAUGUAUGGAUAAGGUCAUAAAGAUGGGUAAAUAUAAUAUAUUGACUUGUUGUUGAUUGAUGAUGUUAUUUUAUCCUUAUCCUAGAGUUAGAUGCUAGCGCUCCAAUUGCUAAUCAUCUCCGGAUGUUAUGUCCUUACACGACAUAGGGGUUGUUGACACCUAAUUUUUCCCCUCCACAACUACGUUUAAUCUCGAGUUUCUUCGAUUUUCAAAUAAAAUCACAACAAUUAUUUUUCCAAAUAAAGGCAUUUUAAAAUAGGCAUUUGGGCUAAUUUUGUCAUUUAAGUGAUAAUAAUAUAAUUUCGUAUUUGCAUAUACGAGAUUGUAUAAAUGAUGUCAUUUAAAUGAACAUCUUCAUCAAAUUGGGCUUUAAAUUAAGGAUUAUUUGAAAAAUAAAUAAAUAAUUAUAAUCUUAAUUUAAACAUCAUUUAUUCUGAAAAUAAUUUUGUUUGAUUUUAUCGAAUCAAGAAGUUUGGGGUUAAAACGGGUAUUAAUUCGUAUCGAAUUUAGUCUGUCUAUUAGAUUUGACCAUAAUUGAAAUCAAAUUGGCUAUGAUUGCAAUGCAAUUGACUAAUUAACUUUCAAUUUCGUUUAAAUUUAAAUAGAUGGCUAAAUUAGAACUGAAGUUAUUUCUGAACAACCUUUAGUCCAAUUGGGGUUUAUUUUUCCUAAAUUUAAUCGGGAUUAUUUUAACUUUUAACCCCAAUUAUUAACCCAAUUAAACUAAUACCAAUUGCCCAUUUCUUUUUCUUUUAAACGUUACCAGCCCAAUCCCUCCUAAAUAAUAUACUGCAGCCUCAAUUUGGCCCAAAUAUCCCAAUAAACCGCCCCAGCUAGCCCAACAAUAACAAUUUCUCCAACCAAGACCCCAACCCGGCCCAUUUCUUAUAAUCUUUAACAAUACUGCAGCUUCCAAACAGUGCCCAUAUCAACAACAAUCUCAUGAUCAACAGCUCCUAAAUCGCGAUGCGUCAACAACUUCGAAUCCGAUGAACCCAACCCAUCUAGCUCCACAUUUACCCGCUACCAACCCAUUCGUGGUCUUCCUCACUCCGUCACACUCGAGUCCAUAUGAGAAAGACCUAGAAGCUUCUAGAAAAGUGAUGCAUCAGCCCCUUCUAAUGUUCGAAUCGUAGAUCUUUCGGGUUGAUUGGUACGAUUUCGUACGUAGUUGGGGGAUUUUCAUUGACUAUUGAAUACCAUUUAUUUUUUCGAAAUGGUAUUGGUCCACGUAUUUCAAUUUCUUUGAAAAUUGGCAAUUGAUACCAAUUAUUAGUUGGAAAUUACAUCUUUAGUUGGAAUUUCAAAUUACCUCCACAGAAAAUCCUGAAAUUACCCUCGAUUGGUCUCUGUAGAGAGCUCACUGAUGAGCUGGGAAGGGGUUGGAAUUUUUGGUAGUCUAAAAAGGUUGAAAAAAAUUUAGGGUUUUCGUUUUCAGCUUGAGAGUCUCUUUUAGGGUUGGAGUCCUGGGAGUCAGAAAUUGGGUUUUCGACUUUUGGGGUUCAAAAAUCAGAGUUUGAAGAUCCUGGGGGUCAGGAUUCUUUUUUAUGUUCUCUUCUUUGAGGGUUCAAAUUUUUGUCCAGCAAAUUCUAGGGCCUUUAUUCAGGGAAGACAGAAGCCGUGAGAAACGAAGUUUUUCGAAAGUCGGGUUAGGAACUCUAAAAUCAAAAAGUUAUUUCGCAUAAUUUUCUCGUCACUUCUUUCUGGAAGCUAGUCACUCAAUUGGGAGUACCCGAGUUGACAACAUCAAGUUCCCAGCAAUGAUUACUAUGCUGAUAGCUCGUUUGUUCCAUUUUGCUACCCCGAAGGAGGUAAACAUACUCUUACCCCUUUUAACUUAUCGAUUUCUUCUUUAUCCCUCUUUCUUUAUGGUAAUAUUUGUUUGUUUGUUGAUGAAUAAGGCUGGGUUGUUCGCUGUAAAAAGCCUUAAAGGCCGUAGGUUUUGUGAAAGCAAUGUUGUCUGUAUUGUCUGGUUAUGAUGGUUUUGCCUUAGUUUCUAUUGCUUAUUUUGACAUUGUUGAUUAGUUUUGUCCUGUUUCUUAUUAAGUAUAGUGACCGUUGUGUGGGUCGAUGGUUUAUCAUCUAGAGUUGCUCCUUUGAUGGUCGUUCUAUUAUUUAUCUAAGUGUCAUUGGGUUUCAUUCGUUGUUAUUGUAGUCUAAAGUAUUUAAUGAAAAAUCCAAAGAUCUCUCGACGGUCGUGUCGUUUGAUCGAAAGAGAGGAUUAGAAUGAUUUGAUGACUCAUUCGUUGUGACUGUUUGACAUAGUUUUGGACUGUGUAUUUUCCUACUCAGCUGGUAACAUUGCUAGCAGAGCUGCCUCUCAAGUCUCUUUGGCUUCUCACGUGCCAAAGGGAUAAUGAGUAAGAGCCAAGAUGGGCUAUAAAUGCCUGUGAUUCCUCGAUGAUCAUAUCGGCUACCAAAAGCUUAUCCUUUUGGGUUUGUCGAAAAAAGAGUGAGGAUGAGGAUAGUAGACUUUGCUACGUUUCCAUUUGGUUUAAUGGGUUAUGUCUUUUGCCUCGUCUUAAAACUCGAAUUUUAGACUCCCAUCCUUCCUUGGGUUUCAUCCUCAGUGGGGAGACACAUUAGAAGGAUAAACAUGGUAAUAUUUUGGGGUACUAGAUAUUCGAAUGUGUCCUGUUCAGGGCAGUAGCCUAAUUUUGUUGUUAUCAUACUGCAUAUAAUUUAUGUUCAGGCUAAGGAUUCCCAAGGAUCUUUCUUUGUCAACAAUAAUCAAGAAGGUAGGGAUGAAUUUGCAUUUAUGUUACAUUCAAUAUAGGAUUAGGGAUGGGACAACACAUCAUAACUGUUUGUCUUCAUCCUGAAAUACCUGCUGCCAGGACCUAAUGCGGCAGGUAACUUAAGCACUCUUCCAGAUUCAAUUUUCCAAAUAAAGGCAUUUUAAAAUAGGCAUUUGGGCUAAUUUUGUCAUUUAAGUGAUAAUAAUAUAAUUUCGUAUUUGCAUAUACGAGAUUGUAUAAAUGAUGUCAUUUAAAUGAACAUCUUCAUCAAAUUGGGCUUUAAAUUAAGGAUUAUUUGAAAAAUAAAUAAAUAAUUAUAAUCUUAAUUUAAACAUCAUUUAUUCUGAAAAUAAUUUUGUUUGAUUUUAUCGAAUCAAGAAGUUUGGGGUUAAAACGGGUAUUAAUUCGUAUCGAAUUUAGUCUGUCUAUUAGAUUUGACCAUAAUUGAAAUCAAAUUGGCUAUGAUUGCAAUGCAAUUGACUAAUUAACUUUCAAUUUCGUUUAAAUUUAAAUAGAUGGCUAAAUUAGAACUGAAGUUAUUUCUGAACAACCUUUAGUCCAAUUGGGGUUUAUUUUUCCUAAAUUUAAUCGGGAUUAUUUUAACUUUUAACCCCAAUUAUUAACCCAAUUAAACUAAUACCAAUUGCCCAUUUCUUUUUCUUUUAAACGUUACCAGCCCAAUCCCUCCUAAAUAAUAUACUGCAGCCUCAAUUUGGCCCAAAUAUCCCAAUAAACCGCCCCAGCUAGCCCAACAAUAACAAUUUCUCCAACCAAGACCCCAACCCGGCCCAUUUCUUAUAAUCUUUAACAAUACUGCAGCUUCCAAACAGUGCCCAUAUCAACAACAAUCUCAUGAUCAACAGCUCCUAAAUCGCGAUGCGUCAACAACUUCGAAUCCGAUGAACCCAACCCAUCUAGCUCCACAUUUACCCGCUACCAACCCAUUCGUGGUCUUCCUCACUCCGUCACACUCGAGUCCAUAUGAGAAAGACCUAGAAGCUUCUAGAAAAGUGAUGCAUCAGCCCCUUCUAAUGUUCGAAUCGUAGAUCUUUCGGGUUGAUUGGUACGAUUUCGUACGUAGUUGGGGGAUUUUCAUUGACUAUUGAAUACCAUUUAUUUUUUCGAAAUGGUAUUGGUCCACGUAUUUCAAUUUCUUUGAAAAUUGGCAAUUGAUACCAAUUAUUAGUUGGAAAUUACAUCUUUAGUUGGAAUUUCAAAUUACCUCCACAGAAAAUCCUGAAAUUACCCUCGAUUGGUCUCUGUAGAGAGCUCACUGAUGAGCUGGGAAGGGGUUGGAAUUUUUGGUAGUCUAAAAAGGUUGAAAAAAAUUUAGGGUUUUCGUUUUCAGCUUGAGAGUCUCUUUUAGGGUUGGAGUCCUGGGAGUCAGAAAUUGGGUUUUCGACUUUUGGGGUUCAAAAAUCAGAGUUUGAAGAUCCUGGGGGUCAGGAUUCUUUUUUAUGUUCUCUUCUUUGAGGGUUCAAAUUUUUGUCCAGCAAAUUCUAGGGCCUUUAUUCAGGGAAGACAGAAGCCGUGAGAAACGAAGUUUUUCGAAAGUCGGGUUAGGAACUCUAAAAUCAAAAAGUUAUUUCGCAUAAUUUUCUCGUCACUUCUUUCUGGAAGCUAGUCACUCAAUUGGGAGUACCCGAGUUGACAACAUCAAGUUCCCAGCAAUGAUUACUAUGCUGAUAGCUCGUUUGUUCCAUUUUGCUACCCCGAAGGAGGUAAACAUACUCUUACCCCUUUUAACUUAUCGAUUUCUUCUUUAUCCCUCUUUCUUUAUGGUAAUAUUUGUUUGUUUGUUGAUGAAUAAGGCUGGGUUGUUCGCUGUAAAAAGCCUUAAAGGCCGUAGGUUUUGUGAAAGCAAUGUUGUCUGUAUUGUCUGGUUAUGAUGGUUUUGCCUUAGUUUCUAUUGCUUAUUUUGACAUUGUUGAUUAGUUUUGUCCUGUUUCUUAUUAAGUAUAGUGACCGUUGUGUGGGUCGAUGGUUUAUCAUCUAGAGUUGCUCCUUUGAUGGUCGUUCUAUUAUUUAUCUAAGUGUCAUUGGGUUUCAUUCGUUGUUAUUGUAGUCUAAAGUAUUUAAUGAAAAAUCCAAAGAUCUCUCGACGGUCGUGUCGUUUGAUCGAAAGAGAGGAUUAGAAUGAUUUGAUGACUCAUUCGUUGUGACUGUUUGACAUAGUUUUGGACUGUGUAUUUUCCUACUCAGCUGGUAACAUUGCUAGCAGAGCUGCCUCUCAAGUCUCUUUGGCUUCUCACGUGCCAAAGGGAUAAUGAGUAAGAGCCAAGAUGGGCUAUAAAUGCCUGUGAUUCCUCGAUGAUCAUAUCGGCUACCAAAAGCUUAUCCUUUUGGGUUUGUCGAAAAAAGAGUGAGGAUGAGGAUAGUAGACUUUGCUACGUUUCCAUUUGGUUUAAUGGGUUAUGUCUUUUGCCUCGUCUUAAAACUCGAAUUUUAGACUCCCAUCCUUCCUUGGGUUUCAUCCUCAGUGGGGAGACACAUUAGAAGGAUAAACAUGGUAAUAUUUUGGGGUACUAGAUAUUCGAAUGUGUCCUGUUCAGGGCAGUAGCCUAAUUUUGUUGUUAUCAUACUGCAUAUAAUUUAUGUUCAGUCUAAGGAUUCCCAAGGAUCUUUCUUGGUCAACAAUAAUCAAGAAGGUAGGGAUGAAUUUGCAUUUAUGUUACAUUCAAUAUAGGAUUAGGGAUGGGACAACACAUCAUAACUGUUUGUCUUCAUCCUGAAAUACCUGCUGCCAGGACCUAAUGCGGCAGGUAACUUAAGCACUCUUCCAGAUUCAAAUAUUUUUUUUGUGGCCAGGUGUAAUUAAGCUGUUGUCAUUGUCGAGGUUAUUAUUUUAAGUGAUAGAAAAAGCUAAAAAUUGGAAGAAAAUUGGUUUUCUUCGAAAGGGUAAGAAGUCAGCUACGGCUGCGAAUCAUGAGACAAACAUUAGGGAUCUCGUUCUCCAGGCUACUGUUGUGUGCUUUAUGCUUCGACUUCCUGAUGUUUACCUCCUUGAUAGAAUUUAAUAGCAUGUAAAUGUCUUCAAAACCUCGUCCAUCUGCUGACUAUUAUGUUUAGCUCGACAGAAUUUUGAAAUCAGUUUUCCUUUAGUGGUGUUGUUGGAGUGACCGAACAUGAAUCAUAGGUUAUUCUGAUCAUGAACAUCUCUCAAACAAACUUACAGUAUGUUAUGCAUUAUCUACGUUGUCCCUCAUCAUACGCUCUUGGGUACCAAGCAUGUCGUUUAUGCCAGAAUGUAAAUAAAAGUUUGCAUCAAGACAUCAUUUACUUAGCAUGCUAUUUGACUAUAUGAACACACCCUCAUUCUUUCUAAUUAGUCUUUCCUACAUUUUUGCUUUCUCAUGUGAUCGAGUAUAAGUGGUCGCUCUAUGCUUUAUUUCUUCAAAUGCUCCUACGCUACAUACCUUAUUUAUUUCCUUGAUUGGAUUUUUGUGUUUACAUUUUUCAAUUCCCUUUCUUUUUUUAGUUGAUCAUGUCUUUACAUUCUUUAUCUCUCCUGUUUUGCAUGAAUCCACUGUGGAGUUCAAGUGGACUGUCUCCGGUGCAUCCCUCAUCGGGCCAAUGAGGCCUAUCUUAUUGAGUCCAGUCCAAUGACCUAAAAGUGACCCUGCGGUGAUGAAUACGAGGAGUUAGAAAAAGAAAGGCGAGUUAAAGACCCACAUUUAAAGUGGCUAAGAGACUCCGAAGUCUCAUUUGUUGUUUAAUUUGUUUAAGUAUUAUUGUCUUUAUUUUAUUUUUCUUAUUUAUUCAUCAUUCAUUUGGGCCACAAAUCCAAAGUUUUAUUUAAUACAAUUGGAGCAAGAUUCACCCCAAAGGCUCGAAAACUAGAUUAGGACAAGUGAAAUGGGUUGAAAUCCCAAUUAGAAUAGGACAGGUUUUGUUGAUUUGGGCCCAAUGGCCUAAAUCAUUUACUUUCUCCUCCCUUCCCCUUUUAUUGUUUACUUACUUAUUCAUUUUAUUUAGACUUAGUUUAAAAUCCCUAAUAAGUUGCCUAAAUCUAUUUUAAACAAAUCAUUUUCUAAAACCAAUCACUUUCGACAAAUUAAUCUUUUUCCGAAGUUAGUCAAAAGACGUUUUCAAACAGUCCAGAUAACCGCAAGUUAGCGGACGUUUUAGCUGCCUAACACCUUCCUAAAACGUU
Molecule: long non-coding RNA, 10779 nt
Filed under: Capsicum annuum
Lineage: Eukaryota; Viridiplantae; Streptophyta; Magnoliopsida; Solanales; Solanaceae
Description: long non-coding RNA (CANN_LNC017368)
Source: RNAcentral